AGAGUUUGAUCCUGGCUCAGAUUGAACGCUGGCGGCAGGCCUAACACAUGCAAGUCGAACGGUAACAGGAAACAGCUUGCUGUUUCGCUGACGAGUGGCGGACGGGUGAGUAAUGUCUGGGAAACUGCCUGAUGGAGGGGGAUAACUACUGGAAACGGUAGCUAAUACCGCAUAACGUCGCAAGACCUAAGAGGGGGACCCUCGGGCCUCUUGCCAUCGGAUGUGCCCAGAUGGGAUUAGCUUGUUGGUGGGGUGACGGCUCACCAAGGCGACGAUCCCUAGCUGGUCUGAGAGGAUGACCAGCCACACUGGAACUGAGACACGGUCCAGACUCCUACGGGAGGCAGCAGUGGGGAAUAUUGCACAAUGGGCGCAAGCCUGAUGCAGCCAUGCCGCGUGUAUGAAGAAGGCCUUCGGGUUGUAAAGUACUUUCAGCGGGGAGGAAGGGAGUAAAGUUAAUACCUUUGCUCAUUGACGUUACCCGCAGAAGAAGCACCGGCUAACUCCGUGCCAGCAGCCGCGGUAAUACGGAGGGUGCAAGCGUUAAUCGGAAUUACUGGGCGUAAAGCGCACGCAGGCGGUUUGUUAAGUCAGAUGUGAAAUCCCCGGGCUCAACCUGGGAACUGCAUCUGAUACUGGCAAGCUUGAGUCUCGUAGAGGGGGGUAGAAUUCCAGGUGUAGCGGUGAAAUGCGUAGA
This 697-nucleotide ribosomal RNA is filed under the name uncultured bacterium. RNAcentral describes it as "bacterial SSU rRNA". It matches the Rfam family "Bacterial small subunit ribosomal RNA", at positions 8 to 694 of the family's 1533-position model. The record is from RNAcentral.